Molecule: ribosomal RNA, 543 nt
Filed under: Triticum aestivum (bread wheat)
Lineage: Eukaryota; Viridiplantae; Streptophyta; Magnoliopsida; Poales; Poaceae
Description: partial small subunit ribosomal RNA
Source: RNAcentral
AUGAGCGAUAAGCUAACCUGUCAUGGCCACAAAGGCACAUAUCAUCAGUACAGAUACAGACAGGCCGCUGCCAUGGCCUUCUUCUUCGUCUUGCUCCUCGCCGCCCAUGGCGCGGCCCCUGCUCUUGGCUUCACGCGGAGCGACUUCCCGCCGGACUUCGUCUUCGGCGCCGCCACCUCCGCGUACCAGUAUGAGGGCGCCGUGGCUGAGGACGGCAGGAGCCCAAGCAUCUGGGACACCUUCACUCACAUUGGGAAAAUGGCGGACAAAAGCACAGGGGACGUCGCUUCUGACGGGUACCACAAGUACAAGGAUGAUGUCAAGCUCAUGGCUGACACUAACCUGGAGGCUUACAGAUUCUCCAUCUCCUGGCCAAGGCUUAUUCCAAAUGGGAGGGGAGCUGUCAAUCCAAAGGGGUUAGAGUACUACAACAACCUUAUAAAUGAGCUGGUGAAACAUGGGAUUCAAAUCCAUGUGAUGCUUUACCAUCUCGAUUUCCCGCAAGUUUUGGAUGAUGAAUAUGGAGGAUGGUUAAGCCCUUGA